RNAcentral lists this ribosomal RNA (250 nucleotides) under uncultured bacterium. RNAcentral describes it as "partial 16S ribosomal RNA". It matches the Rfam family "Bacterial small subunit ribosomal RNA", at positions 335 to 577 of the family's 1533-position model. The record is from RNAcentral.
CGCCCUACGGAGCGCAGCAGUAGGGAAUCUUCCACAAUGGGCGCAAGCCUGAUGGAGCAACACUGCGUGAGUGAAGAAGGGUUUCGGCUCGUAAAGCUCUGUUGUUGGGGAAGAACGUGCGUGAGAGUAACUGUUCACGCAGUGACGGUAUCCAACCCGAAAGUCACGGCUAACUAAGUGCCAGCAGCCGCGGGAAUACGUCGGGGGCAAGCGUUAUCCGGAUUUAUUGGGCGUAACGCGAGCGCAGGCG